This is a non-coding RNA of Misgurnus anguillicaudatus (oriental weatherfish), 281 nucleotides long. NCBI's taxonomy places the organism in Eukaryota, Metazoa, Chordata, Actinopteri, Cypriniformes, Cobitidae. The record is from RefSeq and is a predicted model, not a curated record.
GGCCUGUGUGAUUGAGUUUCUGCAGAUACUCUGGGCAGUUGUGAGAUUCCUAGAUCAGAGUGGAUUUUCUACAAUGAAAAUUUCUUUGGGUUUUCGUCGUUAUGUCCCUGUGUAUGUGUUUGGAUCUGUUGGUGUUGUUUUAAUCAGCUCUGUUGCUCUGAUAACUGAACUGACACUGAAAACAGUUAAUGGUGAGCGUGCACUGAUAGAUCUGAGAUUCAUUGUCUUUCCAUCUGAAUGUUUCUUCAUCUUGUCUGUCAUGAUUUUAGGACAUUUUGGAU